RNAcentral lists this unclassified non-coding RNA (749 nucleotides) under Hevea brasiliensis (rubber tree). The record is from RNAcentral. Lineage: Eukaryota; Viridiplantae; Streptophyta; Magnoliopsida; Malpighiales; Euphorbiaceae.
UCAACGGGUUUGGGUGCGGGUGCGAGUGCGAGCUCGGUGUAUGUUGAUGGAAAUGAAUCUGAUGAGGUUAAAGCCUUUGCUGAUCUCAGUAUAAGUGAUGAUGUUGAUAGUGGAGUUGAUACUGGGAAGAAGGAAGGGGAGAAAGUAGAUAAAGGUGUUGAUAGCAUUGCUAAACCGGAUUUGGUAGUUGAGGGGAACAGAGAGAACAGUAGUGGUUCUUUAGUGUCAUUGACUUCUGGAAUGUCAGAUGGUUUACUCGAAUCCAGCAACGGUAAUUUGGAGACUGAGGUAAUUGACGGUAAGACGGAGAAUCAGACCAGUGGAUCGAGCAAUUCGGGUGUGAAGGAAGUUGGAUGGGGUGCUUUCCAUGCUGAUCCAGUUACAAAUGAUGCUUCUGGGUUUGGAUCCUACAUGGACUUUUUCAGUGAAUUGGGAGAUAAUAACGGUGAUGCGACGGGAAAUGUCGGUGAGAAUGUGAAUAAGGCGUCAACUGUUUUGCCAGUUGAACAGGUUCAUGACACAAUACAAGUUCAUGAAACAGCGCAUCUGGAGAAUUCUAGUUCCUUAACACAGAGUCAAGAUAGUUAUGUCCAUGAUGCUACCGCAGAACAAGUUGCAGAUGGACAGGAUCUAAAUAGUACCCAGUAUUGGGAAAAUCUUUAUCCAGGAUGGAAGUAUGACACAAGUACUGGGCAGUGGUAUCAGAUUGAUAAUUAUGAAUCAGGAGCUAAUGUACAAGGAAGUACUGA